RNAcentral lists this ribosomal RNA (484 nucleotides) under uncultured bacterium. RNAcentral describes it as "partial 16S ribosomal RNA". It matches the Rfam family "Bacterial small subunit ribosomal RNA", at positions 30 to 507 of the family's 1533-position model. The record is from RNAcentral.
AUUGAACGCUGGCGGCAGGCCUAACACAUGCAAGUCGAGCGGACGAACGGGGCUUGCUCCUGGCUGCAGCGGGGGGCGGGCGGGUGAUGCCCACGAAUCUACCCGGCCGUGGGGGCUAACGUCCGGAAACGGGAGCUGAUCCAGCAUCCGUUAUGAUUGUGAACCUGGGGGAUCUUCGGACCUAAACGUUUCAGCUGAGACUAAGUUGCAUUAGCUAGUUGGUGGGGUAAGGGCGUACCAAGGCGACGAACCGUAACUGGUCUGAGAGGCUGAUCAGUCACACUGGAACUGAGACACGGUCCAGACUCCUACGGGAGGCAGCAGUGGGGAAUAUUGGGCAAUGGGCGAAAGCCUGAUCCAGCCAUGCCGCGUGUGUGAAGAAGGUCUUCGGAUUGUAAAGCACUUUGAGUUGGGAGGAACGGCAGUAAGUUAAUACGUUGCUGUUUUGACGGUACCAACAGAAUAAGCACCGGCUAACUACGUG